Molecule: transfer RNA, 74 nt
Filed under: Planctomycetes bacterium RBG_16_41_13
Lineage: Bacteria; Pseudomonadati; Planctomycetota
Description: tRNA-Pro
Rfam family: tRNA
About the family: Transfer RNA (tRNA) molecules are approximately 80 nucleotides in length. Their secondary structure includes four short double-helical elements and three loops (D, anti-codon, and T loops).
Source: RNAcentral
GUGUAGCGCAGCUUGGCUAGCGCGCUUGAAUGGGGUUCAAGAGGUCGUGGGUUCAAAUCCCGCCACCCCGACCA